This 1378-nucleotide long non-coding RNA is filed under the name Piliocolobus tephrosceles (Ugandan red Colobus). Its description in RNAcentral is "lncRNA (ENSPTEG00000000215.1)". The record is from RNAcentral. Lineage: Eukaryota; Metazoa; Chordata; Mammalia; Primates; Cercopithecidae.
UAGAAAAAAAAAAAAUUUGUGCAAAAAAAAAAAUAUGCAAUUCAUUGAUUAUGAAUAUAUAAAUAACAGCGGUAGUAUUAACAAUAGGAAUAAUAGUAAUAAUAAUAACAAUGAACAUAAUACAAUCAAAUUAGACCUUAGUUAUAAAAGGGAUGACUAUGACCAGAAUAGUAAAAAAAAAUACUAUUAUUAUCAUGACCAUGAUAGACAUAAAAACAAAAAAAAAGAAAACUACAAUAACAAUGGUAUAAAUAGUUAUGUAAAUAAUGAAAUAUACAAUAGAUACAAGUCAUCAUUUGGUAAUGCGUAUGAUGAUAAUAAUGAAGAAUAUAUAAAGUACCAAAGAGAUAACACCAGUUGUAGCAAAGUUUUAGACUUAUAUACUUAUAAAGAUGAACACACUGAUGAUCACGCUUAUAGCUGUGAUGUAGAAUUGAAGGUAGAAGAAGGAUCUGUGAAAAAUACAAAAAGAUAUAUCGUUAAUAAUAAUAAUUUUGAAAAAUGUGAUGCAGAAGUAAAAAUGGAACAAUAUUUGUAUCCUUAUUUGUGUAAUGCAUCAAACAGAAAUCAUAACACCUGUACUAACCGUACCAGACAGAAUAAUAAAAUAAAUGUAUCAUGCAUGUGUAAACAAAAAGAAAAAAAAAGAAAGUUAAUGAACGAAUUUAUAGAAGUUCACAAUAUGAAUAAUUAUGAUCUCGAUAAUUAUAAACAUAAACUUUCAAUUAAUAAUAACGAAAUAGACGAUCAAGAGUUUUAUAAUAAUAUGUUAUGUCAUGAAACGUUAAAAGAAAAUGUACUUAACAAUGUAGUGACUAAAAACAUACAGUCCACUGACAUGCGUCCCAACUUGAACCAUAACAGUUGCAAUAAAAACAGUCCAUAUAAUAUGGACAAAAACAUUUGUGUUAACUCCCUUUUUUUUUCAUAUAUAAAAAAAAAGAAACAUUCAGAUGGCAAUACGAUUGGCGUUACAUGUGGUAAUAUGAACAAAUUAAGACAUACCGAUACAUUUACUCCUAAUACUAACGAAAAUACAAAUUACAUUAAUGUAAAAAAUUUAAAAAAGCAAAACAUCAACCGUGAAAAAUGUGUAAGUAAGUCAAAACAAUUUUGGAUAUCACAAUUAGGAUCAUUUACCGAAGAUAGGCCCGAUGAAAAUAGCAAUAUCAGCUGUAGUUAUAGCAAUGGAAAAAAUAACAAAUAUAAUUACAUCAGCCACAGUGGACCUAAUAAAUGUUACUUCCACAAUUGUAAAGAAUUGAACCUUGUGAGUGAUAAAAUAAAUAAUAUUUUUACUAGCUGUGGAAAUAUAAUUUUGUCAAAAACAACAACAAAAAAAAACAAAUGCAACAAAAAAAACAAAUGCAACAAAAAA